This 1571-nucleotide long non-coding RNA is filed under the name Homo sapiens (human). Its description in RNAcentral is "HSALNT0271604". The record is from RNAcentral. Lineage: Eukaryota; Metazoa; Chordata; Mammalia; Primates; Hominidae.
GCUAGCACUCUCCUCUGCUCCAUGAAAAUGUGCAUGAUGAGAUAAUGCAUACACCCCUUCAAGGAUCUGUUACUACAUAGUUUCCUGUACACCAGACCAUAAACUGGAUUAAUUGACAACAUAACUUUUCAAGUGUCUGCACACCUCAUUCCUCUUGGUCGUGAGACAAGAACUCAGAACUUGCUGAAAUGCAGAAGUGAAAGAGCAGUAUCACUCCAUCCUGCUGAACUACGGGAGUGAAGAAGCCACAGUAGGACUUUACUAGAAGUGAGGAUUGGAGAACAGAAUCUUUCCAAAAGGAACACCUCGAAUACUCACUUCAUCAAGUCUCUGCAGACCAAAACCCAUCUCUGCUAACCAUACCCAUCUUAAAGAUACAGGAACAACUGCCAUGUUGUGGAGAGAGCAGAAAACAGCAGGCAAUCUCCCAGCCCUGAGAAUGGCCUCCUCUUCCCAACAGCCAGCAGGAAGGCUGGAAUCUCAGUCCUACGACCAAAAGAAACUCUAUUCUAACAGGCCAAAUCAGUCUGGAAGAAGAUCUUAAGCUUCAGCUCACAGAUUCUCUGCCUGUGUCGUAUGGCUAUUGCCAGGGGAUGAACGAGGGUUGCUCUUCGCAAUUCAAGACUGUCUUUCCUACCCUCUUCAGUGCCUCUUGAUGUUAAAACCAGGUGGAAGGAUGAAUCCAAUUCCUGUUAUAUCAUUUUGGCCAGUAAAGAAAACUAACACAAGAACAGAAAACCAAACAUCGCAUGUUCUCACUCAUAAGUGGGAGUUGAACAAUGAGAACACUUGGCCCCCGGGAGGGUGGACAUCCCACACUGGGGCCUGUCGGGGGGUGGGGGGCUAGGGGAGGGAUAGCAUUAGGAGAAAUACCUAAUGUAUAUGACGGGUUGAUGGGUGCAGCAAACCACCAUGGCACGUGUAUACCUAUGUAACAAACCUGCACGUCCUGCACAUGUACCCCAGAACUUAAAAUAUAAUAAAAAAAGAAGGCACAACUUUUAUUUUUUUUAGCAUUUCUUUUGUAAGCAUGUGUUUUAUAUACUUUAUGCUAUGCAGACAUUAGUCAGUGUUUUUAGCAACUUCCAGAAAAUACAUGAGGAGAGUGUACUUUUGAAGCUAAAAUACAUGGCUUCAAUUAUGUUUUGAAAUGAAAGACUUUUGUUGUAAAAUUGUUGAAUUCUUCAUUAAAUGACUCGGGUUUUAAGACAGCUGUAAUAAUAACUAACAUUACAUUACUAAUGUGAUUAUGAUCUUCCUGUGUAUUACAAACUAUAUUUCAUGCUGGGUGAUGGGACUUAGGGCUUACUGUGAGAUGAUUCUAGCUUCAUAGCCCAGAUUGCUGGUUAUUAGACUCCAGCUCAUACGGCAUCACUCUUUCUUAUUCUUAGCAAGAACAUGGACAAGUUUUCAUUUUCAGUGUACCUUCCUCACCCUACAGAACGGUUGAGAGGUUAUAUCUUAGGCCUGUUAAAAUCAUGGUUGCUUUCAGCCGGGCCAGUGGCUUAUGCCUGUAAUCCCACCACCUUGGAAGGCUGAGGCGGGAGGAUCAUGAGGUCAGGAGAUCGAGA